UUAAGCGACUAAGCGUACACGGUGGAUGCCCUGGCAGUCAGAGGCGAUGAAGGACGUGCUAAUCUGCGAUAAGCGUCGGUAAGGUGAUAUGAACCGUUAUAACCGGCGAUUUCCGAAUGGGGAAACCCAGUGUGUUUCGACACACUAUCAUUACGUGAAUACAUAGCGUAAUGAAGCGAACCGGGGAACUGAAACAUCUAAGUACCCCGAGGAAAAGAAAUCAACCGAGAUUCCCCCAGUAGCGGCGAGCGAACGGGGAGCAGCCCAGAGUCUGAAUCAGCUUGUGUGUUAGUGGAACGGUCUGGAAAGUCCGACGGUACAGGGUGAUAGUCCCGUACACCAAAAUGCACAGGUUGUGAACUCGAAGAGUAGGGCGGGACACGUGGUAUCCUGUCUGAAUAUGGGGGGACCAUCCUCCAAGGCUAAAUACUCCUGACUGACCGAUAGUGAACCAGUACCGUGAGGGAAAGGCGAAAAGAACCCCGGCGAGGGGAGUGAAAAAGAACCUGAAACCGUGUACGUACAAGCAGUGGGAGCCUACUUGUUAGGUGACUGCGUACCUUUUGUAUAAUGGGUCAGCGACUUAUAUUCUGUAGCAAGGUUAACCGUAUAGGGGAGCCGAAGGGAAACCGAGUCUUAACUGGGCGUUAAGUUGCAGGGUAUAGACCCGAAACCCGGUGAUCUAGCCAUGGGCAGGUUGAAGGUUGGGUAACACUAACUGGAGGACCGAACCGACUAAUGUUGAAAAAUUAGCGGAUGACUUGUGGCUGGGGGUGAAAGGCCAAUCAAACCGGGAGAUAGCUGGUUCUCCCCGAAAGCUAUUUAGGUAGCGCCUCGUGAAUUCAUCUUCGGGGGUAGAGCACUGUUUCGGCUAGGGGGUCAUCCCGACUUACCAACCCGAUGCAAACUGCGAAUACCGAAGAAUGUUAUCACGGGAGACACACGGCGGUGCUAACGUCCGUCGUGAAGAGGGAAACAACCCAGACCGCCAGCUAAGGUCCCAAAGUCAUGGUUAAGUGGGAAACGAUGUGGGAAGGCACAGACAGCCAGGAUGUUGGCUUAGAAGCAGCCAUCAUUUAAAGAAAGCGUAAUAGCUCACUGGUCGAGUCGGCCUGCGCGGAAGAUGUAACGGGGCUAAACCAUGCACCGAAGCUGCGGCAGCGACACUAAGUGUUGUUGGGUAGGGGAGCGUUCUGUAAGCCGUUGAAGGUGUGCUGUGAGGCAUGCUGGAGGUAUCAGAAGUGCGAAUGCUGACAUAAGUAACGAUAAUGCGGGUGAAAAACCCGCACGCCGGAAGACCAAGGGUUCCUGUCCAACGUUAAUCGGGGCAGGGUGAGUCGACCCCUAAGGCGAGGCCGAAAGGCGUAGUCGAUGGGAAACAGGUUAAUAUUCCUGUACUUGGUGUUACUGCGAAGGGGGGACGGAGAAGGCUAUGUUAGCCGGGCGACGGUUGUCCCGGUUUAAGCAUGUAGGCGGAGGUUCCAGGUAAAUCCGGUACCUUUUUAACGCUGAGGUGUGAUGACGAGGCACUACGGUGCUGAAGUAACAAAUGCCCUGCUUCCAGGAAAAGCCUCUAAGCAUCAGGUAACACGAAAUCGUACCCCAAACCGACACAGGUGGUCAGGUAGAGAAUACCAAGGCGCUUGAGAGAACUCGGGUGAAGGAACUAGGCAAAAUGGUGCCGUAACUUCGGGAGAAGGCACGCUGAUAUGUAGGUGAAGCGGUUUACCCGUGGAGCUGAAAUCAGUCGAAGAUACCAGCUGGCUGCAACUGUUUAUUAAAAACACAGCACUGUGCAAACACGAAAGUGGACGUAUACGGUGUGACGCCUGCCCGGUGCCGGAAGGUUAAUUGAUGGGGUUAUCCGUAAGGAGAAGCUCUUGAUCGAAGCCCCGGUAAACGGCGGCCGUAACUAUAACGGUCCUAAGGUAGCGAAAUUCCUUGUCGGGUAAGUUCCGACCUGCACGAAUGGCGUAAUGAUGGCCAGGCUGUCUCCACCCGAGACUCAGUGAAAUUGAACUCGCUGUGAAGAUGCAGUGUACCCGCGGCAAGACGGAAAGACCCCGUGAACCUUUACUAUAGCUUGACACUGAACACUGGUCCUUGAUGUGUAGGAUAGGUGGGAGGCUUUGAAGUGUGGACGCCAGUCUGCAUGGAGCCAUCCUUGAAAUACCACCCUUUAAUGGCUGGUGUUCUAACGUGGACCCGUUACCCGGGUUGCGGACAGUGUCUGGUGGGUAGUUUGACUGGGGCGGUCUCCUCCUAAAGAGUAACGGAGGAGCACGAAGGUUAGCUAAUCCUGGUCGGACAUCAGGAGGUUAGUGCAAAGGCAUAAGCUAGCUUGACUGCGAGAGUGACGGCUCGAGCAGGUGCGAAAGCAGGUCUUAGUGAUCCGGUGGUUCUGAAUGGAAGGGCCAUCGCUCAACGGAUAAAAGGUACUCCGGGGAUAACAGGCUGAUACCGCCCAAGAGUUCAUAUCGACGGCGGUGUUUGGCACCUCGAUGUCGGCUCAUCACAUCCUGGGGCUGAAGUAGGUCCCAAGGGUAUGGCUGUUCGCCAUUUAAAGUGGUACGCGAGCUGGGUUUAGAACGUCGUGAGACAGUUCGGUCCCUAUCUGCCGUGGGCGCUGGAGAAUUGAGGGGGGCUGCUCCUAGUACGAGAGGACCGGAGUGGACGCAUCACUGGUGUUCGGGUUGUCAUGCCAAUGGCAUUGCCCGGUAGCUAAAUGCGGAAGAGAUAAGUGCUGAAAGCAUCUAAGCACGAAACUUGCCCCGAGAUGAGUUCUCCCUGAGACUAUAAGUCUCCUGAAGGAACGUUGAAGACGACGACGUUGAUAGGUCGGGUGUGUAAGUGUAGCGAUACAUUGAGCUAACCGAUACUAAUGAACCGUGAGGCUUAACCUU
RNAcentral lists this ribosomal RNA (2903 nucleotides) under Citrobacter freundii. Its description in RNAcentral is "bacterial LSU rRNA". It matches the Rfam family "Bacterial large subunit ribosomal RNA". The record is from RNAcentral. Lineage: Bacteria; Pseudomonadati; Pseudomonadota; Gammaproteobacteria; Enterobacterales; Enterobacteriaceae.